GCUGGGCAUGGUGACGCUUGCCUGUAAUCCCAGCUACUCGGGAGGCUGAAGCAGGAGGAUCACUUUGAGCCUAGGAAUUGGAAAUUAGCUUAGGUAACAUAGUGAGACUCUGUCUCAA
Molecule: small RNA, 118 nt
Filed under: Marmota monax (woodchuck)
Lineage: Eukaryota; Metazoa; Chordata; Mammalia; Rodentia; Sciuridae
Source: RNAcentral